AAAUUUCUCUAAUUUUAAAAAAAAAAAUCAUUACGGUUAAAAUGAGAGCAAAUACAAAUAAAAUUACUAAAUUACGAUUUUUCACAUGACAUUCUCACAGUCACUGCCAUGUUACACUGUCUGUACCACGUGCAGGAUCUCAUUUGACACGUAACAAAGUAUUUUUAAAAAAAAAAUAAAAAAAAUAAAAAGACCGCAUACU
RNAcentral lists this long non-coding RNA (202 nucleotides) under Vigna radiata. RNAcentral's name for it is "long non-coding RNA (VRAD_LNC008022)". The record is from RNAcentral. Lineage: Eukaryota; Viridiplantae; Streptophyta; Magnoliopsida; Fabales; Fabaceae.